RNAcentral lists this ribosomal RNA (459 nucleotides) under Triticum aestivum (bread wheat). RNAcentral describes it as "partial small subunit ribosomal RNA". The record is from RNAcentral. Lineage: Eukaryota; Viridiplantae; Streptophyta; Magnoliopsida; Poales; Poaceae.
AUGGCUGCCAUCGCCGCCUCUCCGGCGGCUUCGACUCCGUGUCCGGCCGGCUUGGACACGAAGUGCUUCUCCCUGUUGGAAGGCGUGGUGUGGUGUCCCAGACGCUGCGGGAGCUCCUCCCGUUGGAGACGCCUGCGAUCCAUACACACAAUGGAGCCAGCGGACCAAGUGGAGAUUUGGGAGGCCAUCUUGGCGGAUCCGCUUGAUUGGCUUCCAUCUUCUGUUACUAUUCCUCGUCCAAGCCAGGUGGAAGAAUACUUCAGUUAUGUGUAUGGCGAUGAUGACAUGGAAAUCAACAAAUUUGCACAAGAGCCCGAAGAUGGGCAGUGCCACCAGCAAUAUUUGGGAGAAUUCAUAUUAAACAAAAAUGGGAGGCGUGGCCCACAAGGUCCUCGCAAGAGGAGGAUAUUUCCUUCGGAAAGUGGAGGCAAGAAAUUGCACAGUCGAAAAAACAAUUAA